Raphanus sativus (radish) is the source of this 477-nucleotide long non-coding RNA. RefSeq lists it as uncharacterized. Lineage: Eukaryota; Viridiplantae; Streptophyta; Magnoliopsida; Brassicales; Brassicaceae. The record is from RefSeq and is a predicted model, not a curated record. The transcript is spliced from 2 exons.
UAUGAGUUUUGUUUCUGCUGUACACUUUUAAAGUGAAGUUCAUUUGAGGAAAAAGGUAAAAUAAAAUAAGUGGAGAAGCUAUGAGGAUACGUCCAGAAGAGUCCAUGUUACUUCACAAGCUCCUCUUUCUUUGUCUCUCAGAGAAAAACAGGGAAACUGAGAAUACAGUAGUUUUCCUGUGGCGUAACACGUUGCAGGUUAUUGGUUGUCGUAUGUAUUCAGACGCACACUCUUCUAUAGUUCUCAUCUCAAGUCUAUUUAUUUAAAAAUGACAAUGUGUAGAACAUAAAAUCUGUAUUUGCAAUUUCAUUUUCGGUAAAGAAAAAUGUGAUUGUUUACUAUGUGUCUACUAAACGAACGGUGCUCUGUUCUGACCACAACUUUGGUCGUGUUUUUCUUUUCUUGAAUAACUGGGAGAUGAUUAAAAUCUGUAUUUGUAAUUUCAUUUUCGGUAAAGAAAAAUGUGAUUGUUUACUA